RNAcentral lists this ribosomal RNA (433 nucleotides) under uncultured bacterium. RNAcentral describes it as "partial 16S ribosomal RNA". It matches the Rfam family "Bacterial small subunit ribosomal RNA", at positions 29 to 507 of the family's 1533-position model. The record is from RNAcentral.
AACGAACGCUGGCGGCAUGCCUAACACAUGCAAGUCGAACGAGACCUUCGGGUCUAGUGGCGCACGGGUGCGUAACGCGUGGGAACCUGCCCUUAGGUUCGGAAUAACUCCCCGAAAGGGGUGCUAAUACCGGAUAAUGUCUUCGGACCAAAGAUUUAUCGCCUUUGGAUGGGCCCGCGUUGGAUUAGCUAGUUGGUAGGGUAAAAGCCUACCAAGGCGACGAUCCAUAGCUGGUCUGAGAGGAUGAUCAGCCACACUGGGACUGAGACACGGCCCAGACUCCUACGGGAGGCAGCAGUGGGGAAUAUUGGACAAUGGGCGAAAGCCUGAUCCAGCAAUGCCGCGUGAGUGAUGAAGGCCUUAGGGUUGUAAGGCUCCUUUACCCGGGAUGAUAAUGACAGUACCGGGAGAAUAAGCUCCGGCUAACUCCGUG